UCAAUGUUGGGCCGUGGGUAAUUAUUAUUCAACACAUGAUGAGAAACGGUGAAUUUCGUUUUGAAGACCGCGUGAAUAGUCAUAUCAAAUACUUUGAUGUGUAGAAGCUGCCCCGCCAAGAACUCAAAAAAAAUUAGGACAAGUUCCUCGACCUCACGUGAUUUCGAAUUUAUCAAUAGUAUCAGAUAGAAAAACAAGUGGAUGGUGCAGUUAUUCAAUAACAUUGUGAAAUGCUUCUCGCUACAAAAUCAUUCAAUCAUUCUCUGGAAACACGAGAAAAGGCCAUUUGUAGAUCGACUAGCGACGAAUUUGUUCCAAACACAAGCCUAGCACUGGAAUCGAUUUGCAGUAGUUUGUUUUUCAUCACUGGUUGUAGGUGGCUAUGUGACUGAUUUGCUAUCAUUCUGGCUAGAUUUAUAAAUAUUUCCGAAAACCAAUCGGAGCUUGAGUGAAUAAAAAACUGGAUAAAACUGGCAAAUAUCUGAAAAAAACUGGAAGAUUUUGGGAAGAAAAUGUUUGAGUGAAUCACUUGAAAAAAAACUGUAGGAAUCCAGUUCAAACUGGAACAUUGGUAACCCUGGAACUAACUACUCAAAAAAUGGCCCAAUGAAUCGCAUGAUGCGUCACUAUAAUCAGCACUGCGAAAAUAUCGAAUAUCACUAUGGGCAGAAAUCAAAUCAAAAAACGAGUAACUACUGGAAAUAAUGUAUAUAAUAUAAGAAAACAUUGUAUUAUUAUAACUGUAGUCUACAUUUGAUUGACGAAAUAAAU
This is a long non-coding RNA of Wyeomyia smithii (pitcher-plant mosquito), 771 nucleotides long. RefSeq lists it as uncharacterized. NCBI's taxonomy places the organism in Eukaryota, Metazoa, Arthropoda, Insecta, Diptera, Culicidae. The record is from RefSeq and is a predicted model, not a curated record. The transcript has 3 exons.